Molecule: long non-coding RNA, 547 nt
Organism: Poeciliopsis prolifica (blackstripe livebearer)
Lineage: Eukaryota; Metazoa; Chordata; Actinopteri; Cyprinodontiformes; Poeciliidae
Exons: 3
Source: RefSeq, a predicted model, not a curated record
CGCCAUCUUGCUGCCGGGCAGAAGCAGCGCAAAGACGGAACUGCUUCGAGACCAACGACAAGAAAAUUCGCCAGAUCAAUUCCAAGGACCAGGCUUGAGAAUCCCGUGACGUGAGGAGCGAACGCACGCUGGAUUUAAAGGGUCUGAUAUCCAACAUGGGUCUUUCUUCGACCAAUCACUCCAUUAGAUAAGAGAAGAGAGACGACUGACCUGUGCUGUAGAGACCUUUCUUCACGCCGAACGGCUGCACAUGCAGGCUGAAGGUGUAGAUGGAGAGCAGGUCCGUGAUGGUGAAGUUCUGCUCCUUGUUGCACAUGUAGGAGCUUCCCACCGCCGCCUCCCACAGACUCAGGUUGGUGCUGCUCUGAGCAAAAACGCCUGCAGGGCGACACAGGAAACUCAGCACCACACCUGGAAAACUGCAGGUUGUUUCCGAGCGGAUUAUAAAUACCAGAGCUGGUGUUGAUGGUGACGUUCAAUGCAUGGAGGCGGAAUUUCUUUGUGUCCUGUUAAGAUUGAAAACGAGUUAAACUUCCUCUUCGUUUUA